RNAcentral lists this ribosomal RNA (490 nucleotides) under uncultured bacterium. Its description in RNAcentral is "partial 16S ribosomal RNA". It matches the Rfam family "Bacterial small subunit ribosomal RNA", at positions 30 to 507 of the family's 1533-position model. The record is from RNAcentral.
AUUGAACGCUGGCGGCAGGCCUAACACAUGCAAGUCGAACGGUAACAGAAAGCAGCUUGCUGCUUUGCUGACGAGUGGCGGACGGGUGAGUAAUGUCUGGGAAACUGCCUGAUGGAGGGGGAUAACUACUGGAAACGGUAGCUAAUACCGCAUAACGUCGCAAGACCAAAGAGGGGGACCUUCGGGCCUCUUGCCAUCGGAUGUGCCCAGAUGGGAUUAGCUAGUAGGUGGGGUAAAGGCUCACCUAGGCGACGAUCCCUAGCUGGUCUGAGAGGAUGACCAGCCGCACUGGAACUGAGACACGGUCCAGACUCCUACGGGAGGCAGCAGUGGGGAAUAUUGCACAAUGGGCGCAAGCCUGAUGCAGCCAUGCCGCGUGUAUGAAGAAGGCCUUCGGGUUGUAAAGUACUUUCAGCGGGGAGGAAGGGAGUAAAGUUAAUACCUUUGCUCAUUGACGUUACCCGCAGAAGAAGCACCGGCUAACUCCGUG